RNAcentral lists this unclassified non-coding RNA (270 nucleotides) under fungal sp. Its description in RNAcentral is "partial internal transcribed spacer region". The stretch from base 1 to 46 matches the Rfam family "Eukaryotic small subunit ribosomal RNA", at positions 1786 to 1831 of the family's 1831-position model. The record is from RNAcentral. Lineage: Eukaryota; Fungi.
AAGUCGUAACAAGGUUUCCGUAGGUGAACCUGCGGAAGGAUCAUUCACAAAAAAGUGUUAUAGGAUGAUUGAUUUUAAAAAGGGAAAUAUAUAUUAUAUAUGAUAUGUAUGAUGUAUGGUAACAAUCAUAUAUAUAUAUAUCAUAUAUCAAUGUAUAUGAACUUUUUUCUCUCUCCUUAACAAUUGCGCUUGUUUUGUUUGUCAGAUUGUGUCAUGUAUGUUGUUACAACAAAUCUUAUACAACUUUUAACAAUGGAUCUCUUGGCUCUU